UUAGGAUAGGGAAACAAAGGUGAAGUCCUUGCCUAGUUUCCGUCUCGUUAAGUGGUUUAUCACUUCAACAUUUUAUGAUUCAAAAUCAUCAUAAGUCCAUGUUAAUGGACUAUUUUUGUCAAUCAACCAUUAUGUUCUAAACAUAAUUACAAACCUUUAAGAGUUGUACAAGGCAACUCUCAUUUCUUCAUACAACAAUUUGUAAGUGAAGAAUCAUGGCACAUAAUGUAUUCAUGCCUUUGUGCUUUCUUCUCAAGUUCUUUGUUCAUUUAACAAAGAAACAAGCACUAAGUGUUUGCAUUGACUAAGAGUUGUUCAAAGCAACUCCUAUUUCUUCAUACAACAAAUUGUAAUUGAAGAAUUAUGACAUUUAAAAGUGUUGUCCUCUUUAUGAUAGACCUUUUCUAACAUAUUCUUCUAAUGAUACAUUAUCAAUAGUAAGAUUGUGAGGAUGAGACUACUUAGAUACAUAUGCAAUCCUUUUAAGACAUUCUUUGGGAUUGUGGUACCUAAG
RNAcentral lists this long non-coding RNA (514 nucleotides) under Malus domestica (apple). RNAcentral describes it as "long non-coding RNA (MDOM_LNC020500)". The record is from RNAcentral. Lineage: Eukaryota; Viridiplantae; Streptophyta; Magnoliopsida; Rosales; Rosaceae.